RNAcentral lists this ribosomal RNA (463 nucleotides) under uncultured bacterium. RNAcentral's name for it is "partial 16S ribosomal RNA". It matches the Rfam family "Bacterial small subunit ribosomal RNA", at positions 28 to 507 of the family's 1533-position model. The record is from RNAcentral.
GAUGAACGCUGACAGAAUGCUUAACACAUGCAAGUCGAUGGGGAAGUGGUGCUUGCACCAUGGUAACCAUUGCGGACGGGUGAGUAACGCGUAAGGAACUAACCUCCGGGACCGGGUUAACAGAAGGAAACAACUGACAAAACCUGACAAGUCCAUUAAGCUACUUAGCUGUUCAAUAAAAAGAGACGCCUGUGGGGGGCCUUGAGUCCUAUGACCUGGUUGGAGGGGUAACGGACCACCAAGGAGAUGAUAGAUAGCCGGCCUGGUAGGGUGGACGGCCACAAGGGGCAUGAGAUACGACCAUUACUGCUACGGGAGGAAGCAGUGGGGAAUAUUGGAAAAUGGGGGCAACCAUGAUCCAGCAAUUUUGUGUGGAAGAAGACGGUUUUCGGAUUGUAAAGUGCUUUCAGCAGGGAAGAAGGAAGUGAAGGUACCUGCAGAAGAAGCGACGGCUAAAUACGUG